Molecule: ribosomal RNA, 457 nt
Filed under: Trichoderma harzianum
Lineage: Eukaryota; Fungi; Ascomycota; Sordariomycetes; Hypocreales; Hypocreaceae
Description: eukaryotic LSU rRNA
Rfam family: 5.8S ribosomal RNA (bases 69-222)
Source: RNAcentral
CCUCGCGGGUUUUUUUUAUAAUCUGAGCCUUCUCGGCGCCUCUCGUAGGCGUUUCGAAAAUGAAUCAAAACUUUCAACAACGGAUCUCUUGGUUCUGGCAUCGAUGAAGAACGCAGCGAAAUGCGAUAAGUAAUGUGAAUUGCAGAAUUCAGUGAAUCAUCGAAUCUUUGAACGCACAUUGCGCCCGCCAGUAUUCUGGCGGGCAUGCCUGUCCGAGCGUCAUUUCAACCCUCGAACCCCUCCGGGGGGUCGGCGUUGGGGAUCGGCCCUCCCUUAGCGGGGUGGCCGUCUCCGAAAUACAGUGGCGGUCUCGCCGCAGCCUCUCCUGCGCAGUAGUUUGCACACUCGCAUCGGGAGCGCGGCGCGUCCACAGCCGUUAAACACCCAACUUCUGAAAUGUUGACCUCGGAUCAGGUAGGAAUACCCGCUGAACUUAAGCAUAUCAAUAAGCGGAGGA